CCUACGGGAGGCAGCAGUAGGGAAUAUUGCUCAAUGGGGGAAACCCUGACGCAGCAACGCCGCGUGGAGGAUGAAGGUUUUCGGAUUGUAAACUCCUUUUGUUAGAGACGAUAAUGACGGUAUCUAACGAAUAAGCACCGGCUAACUCCGUGCCAGCAGCCGCGGUAAUACGGCGGGUGCAAGCGUUACUCGGAAUCACUGGUCGUAAAGAGCGCGUAGGCGGGAUAGCAAGUCAGAUGUGAAAUCCUAGGGCUUAACCAUAGAACUGCAUUUGAAACUGUUAUUCUAGAGUAUGGGAGAGGUAGGUGGAAUUCUUGGUGUAGGGGUAAAAUCCGUAGAGAUCAAGAGGAAUACUCAUUGCGAAGGCGACCUGCUAGAACAUAACUGACGCUGAUGCGCGAAAGCGUGGGGAGCAAACAGGAUUAGAUACCCUGGUAGUC
This 440-nucleotide ribosomal RNA is filed under the name uncultured bacterium. Its description in RNAcentral is "partial 16S ribosomal RNA". It matches the Rfam family "Bacterial small subunit ribosomal RNA", at positions 338 to 795 of the family's 1533-position model. The record is from RNAcentral.